RNAcentral lists this ribosomal RNA (460 nucleotides) under uncultured bacterium. RNAcentral describes it as "partial 16S ribosomal RNA". It matches the Rfam family "Bacterial small subunit ribosomal RNA", at positions 338 to 795 of the family's 1533-position model. The record is from RNAcentral.
CCUACGGGCGGCAGCAGUGAGGAAUAUUGGUCAAUGGCCGGAAGGCUGAACCAGCCAAGCCGCGUGAAGGACGAAGGUGCCAAGCAUUGUAAACUUCUUUUGUCAAGGGACAAAAUCAGGCUCGAGAGCCUGACCGAGGGUACUUGAAGAAAAAGCAUCGGCUAACUCCGUGCCAGCAGCCGCGGUAAUACGGAGGAUGCGAGCGUUAUCCGGAUUUAUUGGGUUUAAAGGGUGCGCAGGCGGCGCGUUAAGCCUGGUGUGAAAGCCCGCGGCCCAACCGCGGGACUGCAUUGGGAACUGGCGCGCUGGAGUGCCGGAGGGGUAGGCGGAAUUCCUAGUGUAGCGGUGAAAUGCGUAGAUAUUAGGAGGAACACCAGUGGCGAAGGCGGCCUACUGGACGGUGACUGACGCUGAGGCUCGAAAGCGUGGGGAGCAAACAGGAUUAGAUACCCGAGUAGUC